GACGAACGCUGGCGGCGUGCUUAACACAUGCAAGUCGUACGGUAAGGCCCUUUCGGGGGUACACGAGUGGCGAACGGGUGAGUAACACGUGAGUAACCUGCCCACAACUUUGGGAUAACGCUAGGAAACUGGUGCUAAUACUGGAUAUGUGCUCCUGCUGCAUGGUGGGGGUUGGAAAGCUCCGGCGGUUGUGGAUGGACUCGCGGCCUAUCAGCUUGUUGGUGGGGUAGUGGCCUACCAAGGCGGCGACGGGUAGCCGGCCUGAGAGGGUGACCGGCCACAUUGGGACUCAGAUACGGCCCAGACUCCUACGGGUGGCAGCAGUGGCGAAUGUUGCACAAUGGGCGCAAGCCUGAUGCAGCAACGCCGCGUGCGGGAUAACGGCCUUCGGGUUGUAAACCGCUUUCAGCAGGGACGAAGCUUUUUGUGACGGUACCUGCAGCAGAAGCCCCGGCUAACUACGUG
RNAcentral lists this ribosomal RNA (465 nucleotides) under uncultured bacterium. Its description in RNAcentral is "partial 16S ribosomal RNA". It matches the Rfam family "Bacterial small subunit ribosomal RNA", at positions 28 to 507 of the family's 1533-position model. The record is from RNAcentral.